GCGGGAUUAGUUAAUCGGUAUAACUUCACUUUUCCAAAGUGCGAUGAUGGGUUCGACUCCCAUAUCCCGCUCCA
This 74-nucleotide transfer RNA is filed under the name bacterium. Its description in RNAcentral is "tRNA-Gly". It matches the Rfam family "tRNA". Rfam says of the family: Transfer RNA (tRNA) molecules are approximately 80 nucleotides in length. The record is from RNAcentral.